AUGAGCAAGCUUCAGUGGUUGCAGUACUCGAGUAACUGCAGUACUCGAGUGGUUGCAGUACUCGAACUCAGCUGCUCCACAAGGAAGGCAGUCCUGGCCUCGCCCUGCCCCACACAUCUGCCCAGGCUCAGAGUGGCCUCUGCUCAAAGACACCAGUGCAAAUACAAACAGAGGUCAGUAGCGCUUAGCCUGAGCAAGCACGCGUGGCCAGCUCCAGGCCUGUCCUCGGUGCUCCGCAGGAAGCCGCAGAGGGCGGGCUGGCGGGCAGCGAGGAGGCGGCCCCCACCCUCUCGGGCGCCACUGCUCAGACGUGGUGGGCGCCUGCAGCAGGGAGGUGACGGUGUUCUGCAGGGCCACGCCACCUUCUUGGAGGUCUUGCGCAGCAGUGGGCUGUCGGGAUGGUGCUCCUUGAGGUGGAGGACAUGGCCCUCCUGGCUCUCGGACGUGCAGCCGCACUCCUCGCACACGCACAGCUUGGCCCGCCGCCUGUACGCUGCAUUUCUGCUGCACACCGUGGAUCUUCUUGAGGUGGGACUCCAGAGAGCAGCGCUGCGUGAAGGCCUUGUCACACAGGCUGCACUUGUAGGGCCGCACGCCUGCGGGAGGGUAGCGCGGCCAGGGACCCAGCUCUGGGGCACAGGAGUCCCAGCGGCCUGACAGAGGGACGAGGAAGUCCGCUCAACGCCCGGCCCCCGCCAUGGCCGUGCAGCUGCUGGGCCUCGCUGGGCGGGCCCUCUCACCUGUGUGGGUGCGCACAUGCCUCUUGAGGUCGAAGGUGUCGUUGAAGCCCUUCCGCAGUAGGUGCAGAGGUGCCUCUUGACGUCAUUGUGGCACUUCAUGUGGCGGUUCAGCAUGCGCUGGUAGGUGAAGGCCUUCUGGCAGAUGUGGCAGGUGAAGAGGUCUCCACUGGGACCAUCCCCAGUGUCACCUGUGGGCGAGGGCGUGUGUGUGAUAGACACCCAGGAGCUGGGGCUGCAGGUGGCAGAUGGGGAAGAUGCACUGUGCCAGCCCCCAGCCCCGAGGAGGGGUGCUGCCCACCCAGGGCCACACCUCUGGGCCGCUGGCUCCCGGAGAUGGGGUGGUGGGGCGGAAGCCUCCUUGGGUCCUCGGUCAGCCUCCUGUUGGGCUCCUGAGUCCCUCUGCGAGGCCCUUCUUUGCCGUCACUAAAGACAGCCGGCCAGCUCCCGACAGAAAGAGGGCAACCUCCUGGCAGAAAGCCCGCCCGCUGAGCCUGGGCGCCCUCUAGCUGCUGCUCAGUUCUCAGUCUGCGCCUCAGGAAGGGAAGGCUCCACACGCGGUCCUGGUCUCCGCGCCGCCCUCCGAGGCUGAGGCCACCGCUGGGGCCCGGAGCUGCCUCGCCUCACAGGCCAGCCCAGCCCCGGCCUUUCUUGAGCCUGACAUGGUCUAGUCUGAGUCCCUGCCACCCUGAUGAUUCUCUUUAUAAAGGUUUUUCAUAUUCAGGGUAACCGUGCAACACCUCAGGUCUGUUCAGGAAUGGAGACGUGGGCUCCAGGCCCUAGCUCUGAACGCUCAGAGGCUGCUUGUGCUUCGUGGUGGCCUGCCGCUGGCGACGCCACCUGAGCUCCCGGCCCAAGGCCCCAUCACCCAUACCGCCUGGCCCUGCGCUGCCCUUGGCACUGGUAGAGGCUGUGUUGCUCACUGAGCAAGCUGUUUGGGGUCAGGACUCACUUCUCUGGCUCGUCUACGGUCCCGUGCCCUCUGCUUUCCCUCCACGUGCUCCCUAGCUGCUGGGGCUCAAGGGCUGGGAGGAGAGGCCCUGGGGAUCGGGCGCCGUGUCAGCUCCCUGUCAGCCGCCCAGCGCAUUUCCUGGUGCUGCCCACCCAGGGCCACACCUCUGGGCCGCUGGCUCCCGGAGAUGGGGUGGUGGGGCCGGAAGCCUCCUUGGGUCCUCGGUCAGCCUCCUGUUGGGCUCCUGAGUCCCUCUGCGAGGCCCUUCUUUGCCGUCACUAAAGACAGCCGGCCAGCUCCCGACAGAAAGAGGGCAACCUCCCUGGCAGAAAGCCCGCCUCGCUGAGCCUGGGCGUCCUCUAGCUGCUGCUCAGUUCUCAGUCUGCGCCUCAGGAAGGGAAGGCUCCACACGCGGUCCUGGUCUCCGCGCCUCCGAGGCUGAGGCCACCGCUGGGGCCCGGAGCUGCCUCGCCUCACAGGCCAGCCCAGCCCCGGCCUUUCUUGAGCCUGACAUGGUCUAGUCUGAGUCCCUUUGCCACCCUGAUGAUUCUCUUUAUAAAGGUUUUUCAUAUUCAGGGUAACCGCAACACCUCAGGUCUGUUCAGGAAUGGAGACGGGCUCCAGGCCCUAGCUCUGAACGCUCAGAGGCUGCUUGUGCUUCGUGGUGGCCUGCCGCUGGCGACGCCACCUGAGCUCCCGGCCCAAGGCCCCAUCACCCAUACCGCCUGGCCCUCGCUGCCCUUGGCACUGGGUAGAGGCUGUGUUGCUCACUGAGCAAGCUGUUUGGGGUCAGGACUCACUUCUCUGGCUCGUCUACGGUCCCGUGCCUCUGCUUUCCCUCCACGUGCUCCCUAGCUGCUGGGGCUCAAGGGCUGGGAGGAGAGGCCCUGGGGAUCGGGCGCCGUGUCAGCUCCCUGUCAGCCGCCCAGCGCAUUUCCUGGUGAUGCCCGGCAGGUUACAACACCUGGCCUCCACGGGUGAGAGGAGGAGCAGCCUUUCCUGCCAGUUUUCCAGUCCCUUGGCUCACAGGAAGCUCCGUGAGAGCCCUUCCACUAGAUCACCACUGGCAGCUGCUUCCAGGUUCCAGCACUUUCAGGAAUGCAGGCCUCGUGCUCCUGGAAAGCAGGGCCGUUUCCGCCACCCUGUGCUUCUUCCUGCCUCGGCUGCUGAACUGGGGCUCACCAGGCCCGCCCCAGAUGCAAGGCCCUGGGUCGGAAGCGUACACUUGGGCGAGGCAGAGACUGCUGGGCACACGCCUCAGGGGACAGCUGACCACUGGGCAGACCUAGACCUCACUCUUGAGGCAGCGGAGACGCAGGCCAGGCCAAGGCGCAGAGCCAGGCUCACGCCUCCCGCUCUUCCAAGGACUUCUGUGUAAGGGCUGCCUCCCCUCAAGGCCAGAAACAAAACUAAACAACCCCACAAAGGACUCCAAAGGGCUGGACAUCUCUUGAACCCUACUGCUUCUCCCCAAUGCAUGGCAUUCUCACUUCAGACUCACUUUUCUUUCCCACCCUGUCUAUGCCCCAGGGAGGUUCACAUCUGUAGAAAUAUGGACCCAGAUCCAAAGCCAGUCUGCCUAAUCUCAUUUGGGCCACAUCUAGUGGGUGGGACCCAUGUGGACCCACGUGCGCUGGGCCUCAGGGACACUGUGAGGGUCAGUACCUUCAUCUUGGUGCGCAGAAAGCCGUGGUCUCUGCUCUGCGGGCCUGCCAGACGGCUCAUGUCUCGGAGGGCAGCUGGGCCACCACGCAGGGCCCGGGGUCACGCUAUAGCUGGAGUUCCAAGGCUCAUGUCCAAAGCCAGGGGCAAGAAGGGGUUCGGCCACCGAUGGCUCUGGUUCCUGGUAGGGCUGUGGCGGACAGAAGCCCAGGCUGACUGUGAAAAGAAGAGCAGCCAGGUGAAGGGCUUGAAGAGAAAAGGGGACUCUGUGGGGUUUCAGGAGGGCCCCUGGCAGUGAGCUGGCUGGAACCGCGAGCCACUGUCCCGCCCUCGCAGGCAUGUGGCAGAGCAGGGCUGCCCCAGCCCACUGCCCGCCGCACCUCCCUCCCACCCCAUUAAGGUAAUUACAGGUGACGCCAGCCAAGCGCCACGGCCCACAGGCCUGCCCACUGAGUAAUUUGUGUCUUAGCGGAACUGGGAGGACCGAACCUGCGCUACCAAUUAUUCCUCCUGAGUUGUCUGCUGGCUCCACCUGGGCCAGUCCCCUGGAUUCCAGGCCUCAUCCACGCUCCCACAGGGACAAAGGGCACCAUGGGAAGCCCGGGGUCCCGGACUCAUCAUGCCCCAGAAGGGUCCUGGUGGUCAGGGCCACUCAGGGACUCUCCUCCAGGCAGAUUCAGCCGCUGGUUGUGGGGAACGGGUGGUCCUAACCCUCCCUCCUUCAGGCCGGUCUGUCCCGGACACUGCGGCUGUUUGGGCUCCAGGCUCCCCACUCCUGUGGGCCGAGCCUGGCAGGCAGACAGGUGGGUGGGGCAGAGCAGGAGGAGGUCAGGGAGCAACAGGUGGAUGUGGCCUAACAGUCUCCUGGGCAGCCUGCCUGCCUGUGACGCAAGCCUCCCCGCAGCAGGGACCGCUCCUCACCGCUCCAAGCUCAGUUCACGGUGGCGCCUAGAGGGCUUGGGCUCCCCGGGUAGUGACACCAGCGACAGCGAGCAGACACCUCACACACGGGGGCUUGGACCCCGUCCCAACUAGAGAGGCGGGAGGUCUCCUGAGUGACAAAGAAGAGACGAGUCUCACACCCCAGAGCCAAGGCAAACAAUCUAAUGUUUCAACUUAGUGUUUUU
Long non-coding RNA from Bos grunniens (domestic yak), 4478 nucleotides. Lineage: Eukaryota; Metazoa; Chordata; Mammalia; Artiodactyla; Bovidae. The record is from Ensembl.